Molecule: unclassified non-coding RNA, 239 nt
Filed under: Micarea xanthonica
Lineage: Eukaryota; Fungi; Ascomycota; Lecanoromycetes; Lecanorales; Micareaceae
Description: partial contains 5.8S ribosomal RNA, internal transcribed spacer 2, and large subunit ribosomal RNA
Source: RNAcentral
CGCACAUUGCACUCCUUGGUAUUCCGGGGAGUAUGCUUGUCCGAGCGUCAUUUCACCUCUCAAGCUCAAGCUUGGUAUUGGACUAUUAUUGUUGACAAACGAUAUGUCCGAAAACGAGUAGCAGAUUGUUGAACUUCAGCGCAGUGAAAUAUAUUCGUCAUGAAGCUUUGAUCAUCCUGCCAAAAAACCAUUUUCAAUAUCUUGACCUCGGAUCAAGUAGGGAUACCCGCUGAACUUAA